UCGGAGCUUGAGAUGUCGUCAAUGAUGACAGG
RNAcentral lists this non-coding RNA (32 nucleotides) under Rattus norvegicus (Norway rat). Lineage: Eukaryota; Metazoa; Chordata; Mammalia; Rodentia; Muridae. The record is from RNAcentral.